CUUCUUAGCAGUUUCUUCUGCCUUCAACCCACGUCUAUGUCUUCAACCCACGUCUUACUAGUAGUUAUUGAUAAAAUUAUUCAGUUCCCUUUAAACUCCUCACUCCCUUGCAACAACCCCACUCACCUCUUUUCUCUACGCUCACAUAUUGCAAAAUAGGGAAGAAGCAUAGAUAAGAUUUGGCAAGAGAAUAAAUUAGGGCAUCAUGAUGACGACGUCUCCUUCAUAAACUCAAGCCCUCAAACGAUCCCCAACGCUCUCGAAUGUAGUGAUGUUUCCAAGAUUUCUCCAUUUUUGUCGGAUCUGAAUAUUCUCCGAUGGAAGCAUACGACGUCAGUUUCCGCCAUGUUCUGGUUUUGCGUCGCCGUAAGAAAGGUUUAAUGAUAUAGUUGGAACUUGGAAGUGCAUAUUAUGUUGCACCAUUAAAGUUCUGCAUAGAUCAUACAGCUUGGAAGCAGAUAUAUGGAGUGUUGGGGUUAUUAUACGAGUGAAUACCAUUUUGGGCAAGCAUAGAAGCAGGAAUAUUUUGUGCGGUUUCGAGGGCAGACCUAAUUUUGAUCAUAUAUAUCGUGGUCUUCUUUAUCACCAUAAACUCAGAAAGUAAAGAUUUUGUUAAAAAGGCUUCUAAUUGGGGACUAUAAAAAAGAAUGAGUGCUGCUCAAUCCCUCCACAUAAGUUUAGUUCCAGUCGCAUGUGUGAUGACAGCUCAUCCAUGGUUGUCAAUUGAGAGUCAUCCAAUUCCUUUAGAUAUAUUGAUUUACAAACCGCCAUUCAAACCGAUGCACUCAAGGUACUUUCAAAAGCUCUGACAGGGAAUGAAUUCAUUUAUCUUAGAUCCCAAUUUAUGCUUUAGGAACCAAACAAAGAUGAGAUGGGCGUGUGUAUCUCUUGACAACUUCAGAAUGGUAAUAGUUUGCUUCCAGUUUAAAAAUGAUGGUUAUUUCUUUUCAGUUUUCAUUUAUAUUAAUAUCUUAUCUCUUGAAGCUUACUCUUUACUUGUAAGCUUAUUGUUGCUUUUUUAACAUUGGAGGUGAGUUUGAGCGGAACCGGAUAUAGUUAGAAGCUAAAGACCUUACUUUAGACAUUAGGAGUGGAAAAAUAGUUGGGUCGGGCAGAAUUGAUAAUGGGUCGAUUCAGGUUGUUUUAUAGUACUGGGCAGAACGGGUCAAGCUGACCCCCAAUUCCCUAGACACCUUUUCUUGAUAGUUGAGCUUUGUAACUUUUUAGUUUGUUAAAAUGUCUUAUAUACUUCACUAUUACAGUUACAAUUUAACUUGUGGUUACUAAAGAAAUCUAUGAGCAUUUCAAUCCAUAUUGGAAUAUUGGAUGGCUUUUGGCCCGUUUGACAUGAUACCUUUUAGAGUUAAAUAUUUUAGCUUAACUCAUUUGACCCGUGACUUAAAUCAACUCAUUUUGUGUGCGUGUGUGUGUAUAUAAAUGGGUCAAAAUUACUAAGCGAUAACAUAAUUUUUGCACUGGUAUGAGAAAUAUACUGGUGUGGAUGAUGUCAUACGUGGGAGUACCAAGUUAGCGUUUGUUUGGAUUUGUGCUUAAAACUUUCUCAGCAUUAUAUCCUGAGGCAUUAUAUCCUGAGGCAUGUUAGUGAAACUCACCUUUUUGUCUUUUUUUUUCACCGUUGUCUAUAAUAAAUAAGUUCUUAUAUGCUAAGUUAGCGUUUGUUUGGAUUUGUGCUUAAAAGUGUUAUGUGAUACUGAAUAAUCUUAAUCAAAUAAUCAGCUGAAAUAGUCAUCUAAAAAUUGGCCAUUUGAUGAGGUUGACCGUUAUCUUGGUCCAAUGAGCAUCCCGAAAGAUUCUUCAUAUCUGAAAUUGUUAGAGAAUAUAACUUCAUGCAGUUUCGUAAUGAGGUUCCUUACUUGUGUCAGUUAUCAUGGACUUUUGAAAAAGCAGGUACAAAGCUAGAGUGGCGAUGGAAAUUUAGACCAGCUGAGAAUAAGAUGAAGAAAGCUGUCUCAUGAUGGAUGCUAAAACACGCCUAAGCGUAAGAGUGACUUACAUAUCAAAGGAUUCAGAUCUAAGUUUUCAUUUUUAAUAACGGACAUGUAAACCUUUCAAACCAAUAACCUCAUGUCGGGACGACUUUGGAUAAGGGCAUUUCUAUAUAAAAAUGGUUCAAUUUGGUUGAUCGGUCUACAACGUGUUCUGACCAAAAUGGGUUUAGAUAAAAUAGACCAUUUUAGAAGAAAAAGUGAUUUAGGUCGAUAAUUAUCAACCAUGCUAAGUUUGAUUUUUGUGUCCAUACUGGUUCAAUAUUUUUCUUUGAUUUGUGCUAUUAAAUGAUAAUUCUGGAUUAUUUUAACUGUUUGUUUUACUUUGUACUCAUUCAAGAGUUCAGACAAUUAAGGAAGGCUCACAAGUCAAGGAAGGCUCACAAGUCCUUUGCAGCUUACACAGGAAUAAUUGUUGGGUGGGGACUAGGGAGCUGCAUGGUAGCUAAGGGCGACGAAAAAUGCAUCAUACCUGAAACUUUGUUGAUUCAUUAGGUGCUCAUGAUUCGACGAAUAUAUUCAGCUGGACAACAAACUUGCAGGUGCCCGAGUUAUUCUAUCCAUGGUAGGUUGUAAUCGGCCAUUCUAUAAAAGUAGCCUCAGAUGAGAUCUCAAGAGUUUUUGCACUAUUUUCCCCUAAUGGGAGAUGAAAAUAGUUGCUGCUACUCUGAUAAGAGCUGAUAUAAGGUGCAUCACUUUCUGAUGGCUUUAUAGUGGUAGGAGAAUUAGGGUUGACCUGAGGUUUUGGUUUGUCUUCCACAAACACGGAACCCUUUACUUGUGCUCAACACCUUUCACUAGCAAACAUUAAUUGCUAAAUUGUUUGCAUUUUUUACCAGAUUUUUAAUUGAGGACAUAAGAUUCCAACCUGUCUUUUCAGAAAUUACAGCUCACCCUAAAAAUAGUGGAAGCAAGCAACUUCAAAAGUUGUAUUAAAUAUUAGUUUACAUAAUUUCUACCUGUAGCUGGUAACUUAAACUAAUUCUCCCUAUUUUACAUCAACGAUGGUUUCUCUGCGCAACAUUACUUAUCAGCUUCAAUGAAAGUAGGCCAUGGUUUUACUAUAGCAUAGGGUUUAUAAGAAGCAUAAACAAUGAAAAGAGGUUGGAAUUUGAUUUAUUAAAAUUUGUUAUUUAGUGUAGUGUAUAGUUUUGCCUUAAUUGAUUUUUGCUGAUCUUGUAUCUCAAUGAUGGUUUUUUGAACAAUAUGGAUCGGUUUAUAAUAUUGUCGUUGGUCCAUCAACAUAUGUAGCUGUAGCGGAUCCUAUUGUCGCCUGAUAUAUUCUUUGUGGGAAUGCAUUUUCGUAACAUAAGGUAUGAUUUCAAGUUAAUGACUUCUUUUAGCCUCUAUGUUGAAAAGUGAAGUAGAAUAGUAGAUUAGUAGAUCCGACGUGUAUUGAUUAGUGGUUUUCGCAUUUUAUCCUCAUUUGUUCAAGUCACCUCUUCAGUGUAACAAUAUUUUUAUGACGUCAAAUUUGCCUGAACUUCAAUCCCAAUCACUUAAAGUGAUAUUCAUGUUGCCGUUACAUAUUGCGUUACAUAAAAAAUAGUGGGACAGUAGCUACUAAAAAUUUUGGGCUAAAUGAUCAGUGUGUUCAUAUUGAAAUUUUAUUCCGUUGUCAUAUGUCUCAUCAGCCGAUGAUGAACCAAUCUUUGCCGAAGAAAUGGCCUACCUGUCCAUUUUUCGUUUUAUACUUCGUGAAGACUUAUAAAACAUAAAGGCUAGCUGCAUUCAAAGGUAACGCCAACGCUAGGGAUGAGCAUUUGGGACUUGGUACAGUACCGGAUUUUUUUCGCUACCAAUCCGGUACCCGUUUUUUUGGAGUUUUCGGUACCGGUAUUUUUGGUACGAUACCGGUAAUCUACGGAACUUUACACAAAAAUACUGAUACCGCACCGCACCGAACAUUUUAUGUACCGGUACCCACAUUUGACAAUUUUCGGUACCGGUACCGGUUGUACCGAGCUCAUCCGUAGCCAACGCGAAUACAACCGACUCAUGGGAUUACCCAAACAAUCAACUUUCUUUUUAAAUACGUAGUGAAGUUCUAUAAGUGGUUUUGACUCAUCGUUUAUAUAAUAUGUAUUCCAUCUAUCUAAUUUUCAGUUGGUUAACUUGUCUUUGCUUUGUUUUUUUUUUUUUGUUUUUUUUUUUCGGACUGCAUAUAUAGAAUUGAAGGCUUUGUAUGUUGUUGAAAUGACUAAACUUCACGUUUGAUAAUUUCAAUUUCUUUAGUAAUUGUUUGUAUUAGAAGAGAGCCCAAAGCGAAGUGAGCAGGGAAGCCUGGAUAAAGGAAAGAGCCUACUGGGAAUUCUGCGCGUGGCAUGAUGCAUGAGGUUUCAUGUAAAGGGUCUAAUAAAGGAAGAGACACAUAUUUGGUUGUGCAGCCAGACUCUUCUGGCGAGGUUGGACCUCCUGGAUACCGACUUGAUGAAGUGAGUCCAAUUGAGCCUGGUCAGAUGGAUUUAGGUGAUGUUGUUAUGAGUCAUGUGAACCCAACCGGUGAAGUCAAUGUGAAUGAUCCAGAUAACUUUAGAAUCAAUGGCGAGGAUUCAGAUGCAGUUAGCUAAAGCCGAAGUUGAUGAUCUCAGAACGGGCCAGGACCCAUGUUUACAGAUCACUGGUCAUUUCUUUUUGAAUUUGUUUUGAUUUGGUAUGCUUUUAGGACAUUUAUUUUGGCUGAAAAUGGUUUGAGAUAACCGAUGCUUACCGCCAUUUUGUUCAAAUGCAUUGCAAUUUUGUGUGGUUAUAGAAUGCAAUUGACAUAGAAUGGAGUCAUUUUGUUAAUAAUGAAUUGCAAUAUGUCAAACGUUUGUGAUUUA
Long non-coding RNA from Helianthus annuus (common sunflower), 4828 nucleotides. RefSeq lists it as uncharacterized. The transcript is spliced from 6 exons. NCBI's taxonomy places the organism in Eukaryota, Viridiplantae, Streptophyta, Magnoliopsida, Asterales, Asteraceae. The record is from RefSeq and is a predicted model, not a curated record.